GAUGAACGCUGGCGGCGUGCCUAAUACAUGCAAGUCGAGCGAACGGACGAGAAGCUUGCUUUUCUGAUGUUAGCGGCGGACGGGUGAGUAACACGUGGAUAACCUACCUAUAAGACUGGGAUAACUUCGGGAAACCGGAGCUAAUACCGGAUAAUAUUUUGAACCGCAUGGUUCAAAAGUGAAAGACGGUCUUGCUGUCACUUAUAGAUGGAUCCGCGCUGCAUUAGCUAGUUGGUAAGGUAACGGCUUACCAAGGCAACGAUGCAUAGCCGACCUGAGAGGGUGAUCGGCCACACUGGAACUGAGACACGGUCCAGACUCCUACGGGAGGCAGCAGUAGGGAAUCUUCCGCAAUGGGCGAAAGCCUGACGGAGCAACGCCGCGUGAGUGAUGAAGGUCUUCGGAUCGUAAAACUCUGUUAUUAGGGAAGAACAUAUGUGUAAGUAGCUGUGCACAUCUUGACGGUACCUAAUCAGAAAGCCACGGCUAACUACGUG
RNAcentral lists this ribosomal RNA (497 nucleotides) under uncultured bacterium. RNAcentral's name for it is "partial 16S ribosomal RNA". It matches the Rfam family "Bacterial small subunit ribosomal RNA", at positions 28 to 507 of the family's 1533-position model. The record is from RNAcentral.